RNAcentral lists this ribosomal RNA (492 nucleotides) under uncultured bacterium. RNAcentral's name for it is "partial 16S ribosomal RNA". It matches the Rfam family "Bacterial small subunit ribosomal RNA", at positions 29 to 507 of the family's 1533-position model. The record is from RNAcentral.
AGUGAACGCUGGCGGUAGGCCUAACACAUGCAAGUCGAACGGCAGCACAGUAAGAGCUUGCUCUUACGGGUGGCGAGUGGCGGACGGGUGAGGAAUACAUCGGAAUCUACUUUUUCGUGGGGGAUAACGUAGGGAAACUUACGCUAAUACCGCAUACGACCUACGGGUGAAAGCAGGGGAUCUUCGGACCUUGCGCGAUUGAAUGAGCCGAUGUCGGAUUAGCUAGUUGGCGGGGUAAAGGCCCACCAAGGCGACGAUCCGUAGCUGGUCUGAGAGGAUGAUCAGCGACACUGGAACUGAGACACGGUCCAGACUCCUACGGGAGGCAGCAGUGGGGAAUAUUGGACAAUGGGCGCAAGCCUGAUCCAGCCAUACCGCGUGGGUGAAGAAGGCCUUCGGGUUGUAAAGCCCUUUUGUUGGGAAAGAAAAGCAGCGGGUUAAUACCCCGCUGUUCUGACGGUACCCAAAGAAUAAGCACCGGCUAACUUCGUG